CAAAUAUUCCAUAUAACUUUUAUACUGAAUAUUAUACUUACUUUUCACAGAUUUUGUUUUUUAAGUAACUUAUAUUGCUUCUACACAUAAGCAUUCCCUUAUACUUUACAAGGAUUGGAAGAAACUACAGCAUGGUUUUUUGAGGGUCCUCCUCCUUGCCCCUAAACAUCACACAGAGUUCUUGUUCUGCAGUUCCUGUUCAUACUGGUGUUGAUUUCCCUAAGCAAAGAAAAUAACAUGUUGCUGUUGAGAACUUCUUGCUUCCUCUGUGUUGGAGAUCCUGCUUUCCUAGAGUACUUCAAAUACCGUUUGCUUGGUCUCCCAUCCCUUUAGAAGAGAACUGGAUGCAACUCUGCUAGCCUUGCUGUUGUGCAACAGUCUUUGAGUGGAUUGUCAAGUUGACCU
This 405-nucleotide long non-coding RNA is filed under the name Apteryx owenii (little spotted kiwi). RNAcentral describes it as "lncRNA (ENSAOWG00000003551.1)". The record is from RNAcentral. Lineage: Eukaryota; Metazoa; Chordata; Aves; Apterygiformes; Apterygidae.